UGCAGUCGAGCGGAUGAAGGGAGCUUGCUCCUGGAUUCAGCGGCGGACGGGUGAGUAAUGCCUAGGAAUCUGCCUGGUAGUGGGGGAUAACGUCCGGAAACGGGCGCUAAUACCGCAUACGUCCUGAGGGAGAAAGUGGGGGAUCUUCGGACCUCACGCUAUCAGAUGAGCCUAGGUCGGAUUAGCUAGUUGGUGGGGUAAAGGCCUACCAAGGCGACGAUCCGUAACUGGUCUGAGAGGAUGAUCAGUCACACUGGAACUGAGACACGGUCCAGACUCCUACGGGAGGCAGCAGUGGGGAAUAUUGGACAAUGGGCGAAAGCCUGAUCCAGCCAUGCCGCGUGUGUGAAGAAGGUCUUCGGAUUGUAAAGCACUUUAAGUUGGGAGGAAGGGCAGUAAGUUAAUACCUUGCUGUUUUGACGUUACCAACAGAAUAAGCACCGGCUAACUUCGUGCCAGCAGCCGCGGUAAUACGAAGGGUGCAAGCGUUAAUCGGAAUUACUGGGCGUAAAGCGCGCGUAGGUGGUUCAGCAAGUUGGAUGUGAAAUCCCCGGGCUCAACCUGGGAACUGCAUCCAAAACUACUGAGCUAGAGUACGGUAGAGGGUGGUGGAAUUUCCUGUGUAGCGGUGAAAUGCGUAGAUAUAGGAAGGAACACCAGUGGCGAAGGCGACCACCUGCACUGAUACUGACACUGAGGUGCGAAAGCGUGGGGA
RNAcentral lists this ribosomal RNA (715 nucleotides) under Pseudomonas aeruginosa. Its description in RNAcentral is "bacterial SSU rRNA". It matches the Rfam family "Bacterial small subunit ribosomal RNA", at positions 56 to 767 of the family's 1533-position model. Lineage: Bacteria; Pseudomonadati; Pseudomonadota; Gammaproteobacteria; Pseudomonadales; Pseudomonadaceae. The record is from RNAcentral.